This 2998-nucleotide long non-coding RNA is filed under the name Sus scrofa (pig). RNAcentral describes it as "lncRNA (ENSSSCG00015028169.1)". Lineage: Eukaryota; Metazoa; Chordata; Mammalia; Artiodactyla; Suidae. The record is from RNAcentral.
UUUUUUUUUUUUUUUGGUGUCUUUUCUAGGGCUGCAUUCAUGGCAUAUGGAGGUUCUCAGGCCAGGGGUCUAAUGGGAGCUCACGGCUACGCCGGAUUGUUAACCCCCUGAGUGAGGCCAGGGAUCGAACUCACAACCUCAUGAUUCCUAGUUGGGUUCAUUAACCACUGCACCACGACGGGAACUCCUGGAGUGGUUUAAGAGGUAGAGUUUUGAAUUUGAUUUCUAGGGUUUGGAUCCUAGUCCAAACAGUUUGGUUUGGUGAUACUGGGGAAGUUUUUUAGCCCUUCUUUGUCUCCCCUUUUUUUUUUUUUUUUUUGUCUUCUUGCCUUUUCUAGGGCCACUCCUGUGACAUAUGGAGGUUCCCAGGCUAGGGAUGGAAUUGGAUCUGUAGCUGCCGGCCUAUGCCAGAGCCACAGCAAUGUGGAAUCUGAGCCGCAUCGGCAACCUACACCACAGCUCACAGCCAUGCCGGAUCCUUAAUCCACUGAGUAAGGCCAGGGAUCAAACCCUCAACCUCAUGAUUCCCAGGCAGAUUCGUUCACCACUGCACCAUGACGGGAACUCCUCUUUAUUUUAUUUGUAAAGUGGAAAUGUUGAUACUAUACCUAUAUCUUUAGACUCUGGCAAGGAUUAAAUGAAUCAUUUGUAAUUCUGCUGGACCUCUAUUAAGCCCUAAAUACAUGAUUGCCAAAUAGAGUCUAUGUAAUUUUAACACAAGCUAUUUCAUAUUUGUUAUCAUAAUCUGUUUCUAAAAAGUACAAUUAGUUGGGAGUCUGUUGAGUAAUUAGUAAAACAUUGUAUGGCAGAUGGAUUGUCUUGUGAUCAACACAUUCCAUGAUUUUAUCCAGGUAAGCUGUUAGCUCAGCGGUUGCCUCUUUUUGAGAUCCACAGAUGACUUGCCUUCUUAUUUUUCCAAUAAGUAAUUUUAAGCACUUAUGUCCUAGGCAAAGUCCUGUCCUCAUGGAUUUUAAAAUGCUUAUGUAGGUAGAGAAAUUAAAAUAUAAGUAAAUAAAUAAAUGUAUAAUAACAGGAUUUUCUAUGUGAUGUAGAAGAAUAAUAAUGAAUUAUUAACAAACAAUAAAUUUUCUCUGUAGAAAUCUAUUCCCCAAAUUUUAAACUUAUAUUUAAAAUGUUUGCAUAUGUAUGCAUAUAUCAGCUAUUUGUAAUAAUUUCCUUUUUUCUAUUUCUAUAGUAAAUGUAAGCAUAAGUCAAUGAUCAAGAAUGGCAUGUCUUUGUUAAUACCAAUAAAAUUAAAGAAAACUGCUAACUGGAAUAUUUAUGAAUAUAAUACUGAUUCCAAGCAAGAUCGAAUACUGGCAUAGGCCCCACUACUAUUGUAAUAGAGUAUAAAGAUCUCUAUAAGAUGAGAAAGUGUGUUGUUUCCAACUAUGGACAAAAACAAGCAUAUUUUUCUCAUGAUUCGUACGUUAACUCUUGAAGUUGCUCUGCAAUCUUUUACCUGCACUAACUUCACCAGCAACCCCUUGUGCAGCUACUCACCUCACUUUCUUUGGAGCUAAGGCCUAAGAUUUUCACUUCUAAUAGAAGUGCGUCAGCAACCUUGUGUUUAUUGCCAGAGGAAAAGGGAGAAGGUGGAUGAGAUGAUAACACUGUGAGACAUAACCAAGUUUCUCAUGAAGUUAGAACUUAAAAUAGCUUCAUUUGCUUGAAUAGUUUUAAGUAGUAAUUGGGUUCUGGAUACCCAUGGUACCAAGACAAGGUGAAGGAGAAAGGAGCAAAGAAAAAAGAUAAAGAUACUAAGGAGAUUCGUUUUUAUUAUUUCUGAUGAAUAAAUAAAAUUUGCUCAUGUUGAUUUCUGUUGUUCCACUGAGAAAACCACACCAGAGUAGAAAUUUUUGUUUAAAUUUUAAUCUUAUACCUUUUCUCAUAUAGAGUUUUAAAUGUUAAUAAUUUUUCAAAAUUCAAAUACCCCUAAUUUUGGAAGCACCUGUUAGAAGUGUGGCUAUCUGAACAAAAUAAGAGACAUUUUGUUUACAAAUUGGAAUUGGAAUUUAUUGCUUCUAAUAUUGUUUGGGUCCAUCUUUUUUCAGCACGUUUCCUUAGAAAUACUUGAAGGCACUUCUGUGUAAAACAAGAGAAGAACUGGGUGAUCUCAAAGUGAGUGAGUAUAAAAAAAUGUACCACAUAUUGUGGCUCUGUGAUUAGCUAUUAUUAAUCACUUGGUUAUUUCAUGGUUAGUAUACAUAUUUGCCCUAGUCUUAAUGCAGAUUAUGUAUUUUUUUUAAAUAGUGAUUCAGUUACUAUUUACUGUUUUCUAGUUUUAUGUUUCUGGUUUUCAUUUUGUUUUAUAUUGGAUGCUUUCAUGCUAAUCAGGCUAUUUCUCAGUUCAGAACCAUUAAGAUCAAUUUGCAGUCUUCUCAGACUCUCUGUUUUCAGUCACCCUAAAACUAACUCAUAUGCUUUAUUUCUUGGCAGAACACAAGUAUAUUUAUAUAAAGCCUAGUUUAUCUUAUUGAUUGUGCAAAUAUAUACAGUGGUAAUAUCUUCUGAUAUGUGACCUUUGUGUGGAAACCUUUUGGAUAUAAAUCCUUAAUUAGUAUUAGGAAAAGUUGUUUAGAACAUGGCAUUUUUUAGGUUGAAUCCUACCAGAAGUCUUUCCUUUAAUUAUCUUCUCUCCUGAAGAGGAUCCAUUAGGCUUGUGCUUCUUAUAAGCAAUACUGGCUCACCUGAGCUUUGCUCUCUACCAGGAUCGUGGUGGUUCUAUUAGCAACUGUGUUAAAUUAUCAUUCAUGUAUGAAUGUUCUUGCUCAAUAAAAAUUAAUGGGAGAGGUAUCUGAGAGUGAGAGCUAGAUAUAAAUUAACCAUCUAAGGCCAGAGAACUGAGCAAAGAAUUGACGCUAAAGAGCACUGUGAAUGAAAUUAAAGUCUUCAUUAAUAGUUGACCUGAUCAUGACUUGGCAACUUCAGAUGUUUUCUUCUCAAACAUAAGAAUAAGAAGGUUUUUACCAAAUGACAUGUAUUUUUAAUAGUAUUU